This 440-nucleotide ribosomal RNA is filed under the name uncultured bacterium. RNAcentral describes it as "bacterial SSU rRNA". It matches the Rfam family "Bacterial small subunit ribosomal RNA", at positions 338 to 776 of the family's 1533-position model. The record is from RNAcentral.
CCUACGGGAGGCUGCAGUGGGGAAUAUUGGACAAUGGGCGAAAGCCUGAACCAGCCAUGCCGCGUGCAGGAAGAAGGCCUUCUGGGUUGUAAACUGCUUUUGUCAGGGGAUAAAAUGGGCGUGCGCGCUUAAUUGAAGGUACCUGGCGAAUAAGCCACGGCUAACUACGUGCCAGCAGCCGCGGUAAUACGUAGGUGGCAAGCGUUGUCCGGAUUUAUUGGGUUUAAAGGGUGCGUAGGCGGUCCCAUAAGUCAGUGGUGAAAUACUCUAGCUUAACUAGAGGGGUGCCAUUGAUACUGCGGGACUUGAGUGGAGUUGAAGUGGGCGGAAUUGACGGUGUAGCGGUGAAAUGCUUAGAUAUCGUCAAGAACACCGAUAGUGAAGACAGCUCACUAAGCUCAAACUGACGCUGAGGCACGAAAGUGUGGGGAUCAAACAGG